AUUACUACACAGUAGUAUAAACAGAAUAGAAUACUUUAUUGGCCAAGUGUAAUUAGACAUACAAGGAAUUUGUCUCCAGUGCAUAGGCUCCCAGCGUACAUGCAAAACAACCAAGUAAUAAUAAUCACAAUAUCAAAAUCAUCAUCAUCAUAAUGAUACCAAUAAGAGAAGGU
Molecule: non-coding RNA, 173 nt
Organism: Pseudonaja textilis
Lineage: Eukaryota; Metazoa; Chordata; Lepidosauria; Squamata; Elapidae
Source: RefSeq, a predicted model, not a curated record